This 475-nucleotide ribosomal RNA is filed under the name uncultured bacterium. RNAcentral's name for it is "bacterial SSU rRNA". It matches the Rfam family "Bacterial small subunit ribosomal RNA", at positions 8 to 507 of the family's 1533-position model. The record is from RNAcentral.
AGAGUUUGAUCAUGGCUCAGGAUGAACGCUGGCGGCGUGCCUAACACAUGCAAGUCGUACGAGCUCGAUCUUCGGAACGGGUUAGUGGCGCACGGGUGAGUAACACGUAGGUGACCUACCCCAGAGUGGGGGAUAACUUCUCGAAAGAGAGGCUAAUACCGCAUACACUCGGUCAUUCAUUUGGCCGAGCAAAGCUCCGGCGCUUUGGGACGGGCCUGCGUCCGAUUAGCUAGUUGGUAGGGUAAUGGCUUACCAAGGCUUUGAUCGGUAGCUGGUCUGAGAGGACGAUCAGCCACACUGGCACUGACACACGGGCCAGACUCCUACGGGAGGCAGCAGUGAGGAAUAUUGGGCAAUGGGCGAAAGCCUGACCCAGCAACGCCGCGUGAGGGAUGAAGGCCUUCGGGUUGUAAACCUCUUUCUGGGAGAAGAGACAAGGACGGUAUCCCAGGAAUAAGUCUCGGCUAACUACGUG